Molecule: transfer RNA, 87 nt
Filed under: Chloroflexota bacterium
Lineage: Bacteria; Bacillati; Chloroflexota
Also listed under: 1 other name
Description: tRNA-Ser
Rfam family: tRNA
About the family: Transfer RNA (tRNA) molecules are approximately 80 nucleotides in length.
Source: RNAcentral
GGAAGAUUGUCCGAGUGGUUUAUGGUGCUUGCUUGGAAAGCAAGUGUGGAUUAACGUCCACCACAGGUUCGAAUCCUGUAUCUUCCG